GUCUCUAGUGGCGAACGGGUGAGUAACACGUAUGGAACCUGCCCGCGCACCGGGAAUACGCUCUGGAAACGGAGAACAAAUCCCGAUGUACAGGAAGGAGGCAUCUUCUUUCUGUGAAACAUCCUUUAGGGGAUGGGGCGCGGAUGGACCUGCGGUGCAUUAGUUUGUUGGCGGGGUAAAGGCCCACCAAGACGAUGAUGCAUAGCCGGCCUGAGAGGGCGGACGGCCACAUUGGGACUGAGACACGGCCCAGACUCCUGCGGGAGGCAGCAGUAGGGAAUUUUCGUCAAUGGGCGCAAGCCUGAACGAGCGAUGCCGCGUGAGUGAAGAAGGCCUUCGGGUCGUAAAGCUCUGUUGCGGGGGAAAAAAGGCAGCAUCAGGAAAUGGGUGCUGACUGAUGGUGCCCCGCCAGAAAGUCACGGCUAACUACGUGCCAGCAGCCGCGGUAAUACGUAGGUGGCGAGCGUUAUCCGGAAUGAUUGGGCGUAAAGGGUGCGCAGGCGGUCCUGCAAGUCUGGAGUGAAACGCAUGAGCUCAACUCAUGCAUGGCUUUGGAAACUGGAGGACUGGAGAGCAGGAGAGGGCGGUGGAACUCCAUGUGUAGCGGUAAAAUGCGUAGAUAUAUGGAAGAACACCAGUGGCGAAGGCGGCCGCCUGGCCUGUUGCUGACGCUGAGGCACGAAAGUGUGGGGAGCAAAUAGGAUUAGAUACCCUAGUAGUCCACGC
This 726-nucleotide ribosomal RNA is filed under the name uncultured bacterium. Its description in RNAcentral is "bacterial SSU rRNA". It matches the Rfam family "Bacterial small subunit ribosomal RNA", at positions 88 to 800 of the family's 1533-position model. The record is from RNAcentral.